UGUGUCUUAGGGAAUAUCCAAAGAACUAGGUAAGAGUAAUUAGUAUAUGGCAUAGGAUACCUUUGUGGUAUGUAAGAUGCCAUAGGAUCCUAGGAUCCUUGGAUACCCUCGUGGUAUGAGCCAAAGGAUCUAAGGAGCAUAUGUGUAAAAGUCAAAUGGUGGAAGAAGUCCUUUUAGGGCACCAACCACCACCUAUAAGUAACGAGAGUUGGAAGAGAGAACUAUCUCAUUCCACACUUCUCUUGUGUGCAACCUUGCUGAUUUCUACUUACUUAUGUUAUGCUUAUAGUGUUCUUUUCUCAAUAGGUUAUAGGCCCACACACUCUUUGUUGUGAUAUUGAAGUAAGUUGAAGUCAUUUUCUCUUUGUUGCUUUUGUGUAGAUUAGAUCUUAUGGUAUUUG
This 401-nucleotide long non-coding RNA is filed under the name Physcomitrium patens. RNAcentral describes it as "long non-coding RNA (PPAT_LNC014077)". Lineage: Eukaryota; Viridiplantae; Streptophyta; Bryopsida; Funariales; Funariaceae. The record is from RNAcentral.